AAUAUGUACAAUAUGAUCAUUGAUGGAUAAAGCUACACCAAAGUUGUGAAGGCAUACAUGUGACCGGCAUGGAGUAAAGGCAUAUGGAUCUUUUGAGGGCUAUUUGGAUAAAGGAACUUUCUUUCCCAACUAUUUUUCGUCUUCAUUUUCCCAAGUCCAUGUUUAGGUAAUGGGGGGCAAGAGGCUUUCAAGUUGGUCAAAAAUAAACACGGUGUGGAAUUAAAUGAGAAUUUGUACUUGUUGUAUGAACAAAAGAGUAACUUCAAUUAAAAACCCUUAUUUUUGUAUAUGAUCGGUCGACAUU
RNAcentral lists this long non-coding RNA (304 nucleotides) under Carica papaya (papaya). Its description in RNAcentral is "long non-coding RNA (CPAP_LNC004388)". Lineage: Eukaryota; Viridiplantae; Streptophyta; Magnoliopsida; Brassicales; Caricaceae. The record is from RNAcentral.